AUUAUUUUAAGUUGGUAAUGCAAGAAGUUGCUUUGUAGAUGAUCAUAGGCUCUAAAACAUAGAUACUGAUUUUACAGUAUCUUCUAUCUAUUAACAUAAGGACAUUGCUUAAUUGCCAACCAGAAGCAUUCAUGAAUUGGUUAUAAACUUAAGACAUCUUCCAUUUGGUAAAAUGAGAACAUCAGUUUACCACGAAUGAGAACCAUUCACAAACUGAAUUGUUAUGAUACUUGUCCACUGUAUUGGCCUCAAACACGUUGAUUAUUUGGGUUUGUCUUUUUCUGCCUGAAACAUGUUUCUAACUCAUAGUUGUAGCCUUCUAAGUUGUACCUAAAUUCUGGAUUGUAUUGAGACCUAAGCAUAUUGAAGUUGUAAAGUACAUCCUAUCAAGUUUGUAUUGUAAGAGGUCCAGGUACAAAUGAACUGGUACUUGUCUGGGUCUUUACUAUAGUUAGAAGCUAAUAUGAUUUCUAUUUUGAUUGUGAGAAGUUCAUGUAUCAGAGCAUUUCCCCCUCUUGUUCCUUCACCAACUGAGCAACUAAUAUUGUGCUUAGAAGUGAUAAAAAACUUAACAACCAGCAUUCAACACAGGG
This 593-nucleotide unclassified non-coding RNA is filed under the name Hevea brasiliensis (rubber tree). Lineage: Eukaryota; Viridiplantae; Streptophyta; Magnoliopsida; Malpighiales; Euphorbiaceae. The record is from RNAcentral.